AUGUUCAAAGAGACUACUCUUCUUAUGAUUUCGAGACAUGCCAUAUUACACUUGCGAAUCUCAUUCAAUUCAAAGAGAUUAUUCAAACUUCUAAUUCAAGAGUAUUCAAGUUUCUUUAUACAAUCUUUCAAGAAUAUCUCAAGUUGUUUUUCUAUGCCUAAGCUUCAACAUCAAAUUCUACAUUGGAUUUCUCCAUGUUGCAAACUUUUCCAUCAAUUCUUCAAAGAAGCAAGCUCUUGA
Vicia faba (fava bean) is the source of this 240-nucleotide non-coding RNA. Lineage: Eukaryota; Viridiplantae; Streptophyta; Magnoliopsida; Fabales; Fabaceae. The record is from the annotation of a GenBank genome assembly.